Molecule: non-coding RNA, 221 nt
Organism: Schizosaccharomyces pombe (fission yeast)
Lineage: Eukaryota; Fungi; Ascomycota; Schizosaccharomycetes; Schizosaccharomycetales; Schizosaccharomycetaceae
Source: the annotation of a GenBank genome assembly
GCGGGUUUCUUUUCAGCAGCAGACAUUUUUUACGAUUUAAAAAUUGGUUGUCGAGAGAAUCUCAAAAUUGAUGGACUGAACUAAGUAAUUGCAAUUGUAGGAAUUUGAUAAUCCUAAACUUUCGUGCAAUAUCAAGUUGUUGGUAUUAACUAACAUGCCUGCAGGCGACGCGAUGGUUAUAUACAACUUGGGCAUCACAACCCUAACCCUGGUGUUUAGCC